CUCCAAAGGGGGCUGUCUCAAUGAAUCACAGUACAUCCCAACUCUGGAAUCAAUUUCAGCGGCUAGGAAGAGGGAGGCGGCCCUGGAUGUGUGGAAAGGGGUCCAGGGGCGACCGUAUCAGGAGGGGAGAACAGGAAGUGUGACACGAUGCUAUCUGUGCUGUGGCCAGGUGUAGGGUGGGCUGCCCUUCUUGGGGUCACUCUCUGUCCUUGGCCUCCCGGCAUCAGGCCUCCUGAGACCCCACGGAAGCGCUGGCACAGACCUUCAGGGAUGCCUGGCUGUGGGUCUUCCAGGUCUGAGUCCUGCACCCCAGGGCCCCAAAGAGUGAGGAGCUGGGGUCCCCCAGGGCUGGCCCCCUUCCUGCCAACUCUCCUCUGGCCAGGCCUGCCUGGCGGACGCCCCAGCCUUCGUUAGGCGAGAUAGGUCUGUAGGUAAAUAUUUAUCCCUGUGCAGCUGUGGGUGAGCAGGGGCCGCAGGUGCGGGCUAGAGUCCUGUUUACCCAGCGCUGAGUGGGCGCCGCCUGUUUGCUGAGCUGCCUGCCCAGCCUGGCUCGGGAGCUUGGGAGGGAGCUGGGGCAGUGGAGGAUGUGCCAGGAGCCGUGCGGGGCGGGGCGCCUCCCUGGCAGCCGAGCCCUGCGCAGCCUCAGUAUAGAAUCCACCUGGUCCCCAGGCUCGAGGAGACUGGCUUCUUCCCCCUCCUCUUGCAGCCUUCCCAUUCACUGCUCGCCAGUGCGUCCGUCUUCCCCAACUCUGCCCGGGGCUGACUCCUGCUCGUUCUGGGGUCUCCCUGACCACCUCCUAUCCUGGAGUGUAGGCGUCCUGUUAGCUGCUGCCCUGGCCCCACAGCUCAUCUCCCCAACACUUUCCUGGUUUGUCUUCUCUACUAGAGGCCAGAAGAACAGGGACAGAGGCAGUUUCGGGACCCACUGUUUCCGUAGCACCUCGCAUAGGGCCUGGCUCCUGGGACAUCAGCUCCAGGAGGUCAGGAAUGCCGUCUCUUUGGUUCACUGCUGUAUCUUCUAAGCCUAGGACAUGUAGCUUUAGGCUCCAUGAAAGCUUUUUGAAUGAAUGAAUGAAUGAACAAAUGAGUGACUGUGAUAUCACGGGUCUGAGAUGAUGCUGACUGCUGCUCCCCUGGGCCCAGCCUUCUCCUGUUUCCAAAGCCCUUACACAGCUGUGAGCUCCUUUGAUCUGCGCAUCAGCCUGGUGGGGAGCGCAGGACAGGGAUUAUCUGCCCUAAACCUGAUGAUGUACGGCACAAAAACAUCACGGUCACACGACAGAAACCAGGAUGAAGUGCCCGCAGGCUCAGGACUUCAAUAAAUACAUUAUUAAAAUUCGAUGUGCAGGAGUCGUGGCAACAAGGAGAGAGUGAGUUUGGAGGCAGGCCUUCCUCGCGUUCAAUUCCCCGCUCGGCUGUUUGCUUACU
RNAcentral lists this long non-coding RNA (1428 nucleotides) under Equus caballus (horse). RNAcentral describes it as "lncRNA (ENSECAG00000048215.1)". The record is from RNAcentral. Lineage: Eukaryota; Metazoa; Chordata; Mammalia; Perissodactyla; Equidae.